Molecule: ribosomal RNA, 484 nt
Filed under: uncultured bacterium
Lineage: Bacteria
Description: partial 16S ribosomal RNA
Rfam family: Bacterial small subunit ribosomal RNA
Source: RNAcentral
ACUCAAAGGAAUAGACGGGGACCCGCACAAGCGGUGGAGCGUGUGGUUUAAUUCGAGGAUACGCGAAGAACCUUACCAAGGCUUGACAUCCUCAGAAUCUCUAAGAAAUUAGAGAGUGCCUUCGGGAAUUGAGUGACAGGUGAUGCAUGGUCGUCGUCAGCUCGUGUCGUGAGAUGUUAGGUUAAGUCCUUGAACGAGCGCAACCCUCAUGGUUAGUUGGAUUUUUCUAACCAGACUGCCUCGGCAACGGGGAGGAAGGAGGGGAUGAUGUCAGAUCUGCAUGUCCCUUACGUCUUGGGCUACACACACGCUACAAUGGCCGGUACAAUGGGUCGCUAAGCCGCAAGGUGGAGCUAACCCCACCAAAACCGGUCCCAGUUCGGAUUGCAGGCUGAAACUCGCCUGCAUGAAGUCGGAAUCGCUAGUAACCGCAGGUCAGCACACUGCGGUGAAUACGUUCCCGGGUCUUGCACACACCGCCCGU